UACGGAGGGUGCGAGCGUUGUCCGGAAUCACUGGGCGUAAAGGGCGCGUAGGCGGCUUGGGAAGUCCGUGGUGAAAGCUCGUGGCUCAACUACGAGUCGGCCAUGGAUACUCCUGAGCUCGAGUCGACUAGAGGCAGAUGGAAUUCCGGGUGUAGCGGUGGAAUGCGUAGAGAUCCGGAAGAACACCGGUGGCGAAGGCGGUCUGCUGGGGUCGAACUGACGCUGAGGCGCGACAGCGUGGGGAGCAAACAGG
This 253-nucleotide ribosomal RNA is filed under the name uncultured bacterium. RNAcentral's name for it is "partial 16S ribosomal RNA". It matches the Rfam family "Bacterial small subunit ribosomal RNA", at positions 524 to 776 of the family's 1533-position model. The record is from RNAcentral.